This 398-nucleotide ribosomal RNA is filed under the name uncultured bacterium. RNAcentral's name for it is "bacterial SSU rRNA". It matches the Rfam family "Bacterial small subunit ribosomal RNA", at positions 30 to 426 of the family's 1533-position model. The record is from RNAcentral.
AUUGAACGCUGGCGGCGUGCUUAACACAUGCAAGUCGAUCGGUAACAGGUGUAGCAAUACAUGCUGACGAGAGGCGGACGGGUGAGUAAUGCUUGGGAAUCUGCCUAUUAGUGGGGGACAACCCGGGGAAACUCGGGCUAAUACCGCAUACGCUCUACGGAGGAAAGCCGGGGACCGCAAGGCCUGGCGCUAAUAGAUGAGCCCAAGUCGGAUUAGCUAGUUGGUAGGGUAACGGCCUACCAAGGCGACAAUCCGUAGCUGGUCUGAGAGGACGACCAGCCACACCGGAACUGAGACACGGUCCGGACUCCUACGGGAGGCAGCAGUGGGGAAUAUUGGACAAUGGGGGUAACCCUGAUCCAGCGACGCCGCGUGUGUGAAGAAGGCCUGCGGGUUGU